UUAUCUCUUACUCCCACGCCACACUCCCACCUAAACCUAGGUCACCCGCCGCCGCCGCCGCCGCCGUUCUCUGACCGGCCUGCCGAUUUGCUCGCGCUGCCUCCUUUCCCAUCAACGGUGGCGCUUCCCGAAGCUUCCUUAUACCAUGUGGUGCUUCCCCACGGUCCAAGCCCAAGGUGCCGCCUCAUCGCCGCAGCAGAGGAGCCCCUCCACCGCCCGCAGCCGAGGAGUCAAGUCGACCGCCGUCGAGGAUCCGCGCCGCCAACCGCCAGCGUGUAGUCGACCGCCGCCGAGCAGCCUCGCCGUACUCCCUCAAGAUCCAGGCCACUGUAGGUAAGAUUCAUCAGGCCGAUGUGCUCAUGCCUCUGCUUCUCUGACUACCUGCAGUGCCACCUGAAGCUUCGAUCUAACCCACGGUGACGCUGUCCGCAACUGAGGAGCCACCCUGCCCUCUGCAUUCAGAGGUUCUGCCCCGCCAUCCCUUUUGCACCACCGGCGAGGGCCCCAAAAUUCAGCCCCUGCAGGUAAGCUUGAAAACAGAUCCAUCCUUUUCUUUUCUGCUUCAUAUAUUAUUUCUCGUUUAUCCAUGAAUGUGAUUGCCCCUGAAAUCUUUUUGGCUCAUCGAUUAUCUGAACAAGAUCAUGUCAGUCUAUUUGAGAUUGGAGAUUUCAGAGUACUAAUCAUCCAUCUCUCAUUAUACAAUUAGGGUGAAUUAAGUAUUUAGUUGAUUUCUGGACAGAUUGAAGUAUAUAUAUUUUACUGACUAGUGUUACGUGCUACUCCCUCCGUUCCAAAAUAGAUGACUCAACUUUGUACUAACUUUAGUACAAAGUUGGGUUUGUACUAACUUUAGUACAAAGUUGGGUCAUCUAUUUUGGAACGGAGGGAGUAUGUUAUUAUAUGUUUACGUAAUUCUUACAGUCCCAUCUACAUUUUUUAUUUACUUAGAUCUGUUGCAACUUGCAACUCUUCGUUCUUGAUUAGAACCAUCAUGUUAUUUAAUGUUGUUUUUCUUGUUGUUGUUUUGGGAUGUGUUCUGCAACAGCUUCUGUUUCUGCAACAGCUUCUGUUUCAGAGAAUGCUUUCUAAAAGACUGUGCACGACGGUUAGUAGAUUUGUCCACCAUGUCUUGGCCUGGGUGUUUUGUGGAUUCAACGAGAUUUCGUUAUAUUUCACUUGCUCUUCCAUGGGUGUCGUGCCUAUCUAGAAACAUGUUACUGGUUUUAGUUCAGGCUAGCUUUCUGCUCAUAGGUAGAACUUUGCAUCUGAUGUCAACUUUAAUGAGGUUUGACUAUUGUUGGGGAUGUUCUGAAGCUUGUGGACUGUAUGCUUGUAGCUGAGCUCAACCUCCGAGGCCUCUCCCUUCUCUUAUCACAUUUAUAUCCAGCAUCCAGUCUCAGGUUUCACUAUUUACUAAUUACUACUACCGUUGAAACGAUUGGGUCUCAAUCUUCCUAUUUCCCUUUGCAGCCUGCAAGGAUCCCCAACCAUGCUGGGUGCUAAUGCCUGAGUCUAGUAAAGCAUCAUUGUGCACUUCUGGAACAACUAUCAUGGAAGUAUGGAACUAAUGCUAGCAAAACUCUCUGUGUUGUCGCCUGAGGAAAAAGAUGGAACUUUAUUUUCCUGCCCAACAUUAUUUUGGAAUCUCCUUUUUUAUAUGCCAUGCUUUUUCAAGCUAGUACAGAUAAAGAUCUAGCCACAAAGAUAAGGUAAUUUGUUUCUAAUCUACUACACCUUAUAUAUUCAGAGGUACAAAGGGAGCUUCUAUAUAUGCAAUUAUUCUCAAUUGCAACAUAAUUGUUCAGUUGAGCUACUGAACUUGCUGACUGGAAAAUGCUCAGGGGUAACAACUUGAAAUUUUUCUAGGUAACCAAAUAAGAUAUGCUGACGGUUUAAAAGUUGUUGUUUUAGCCAGACCACAUCCUAUUUGUGUCAGCCUACUAUAUUCUACAGUUACACUAAGAACGGAAGUACACCAGUACCAGUUUGUUUAGGUCACUACAACAUUGUGGCUAUAGUGGGUGGAUUAGGAUGCAACAUCUGUUUGUAUCUGCUGGUAUGGCAAUUUUGCUGCUUGCUAGGAGAUGUUCAUCUCCAGCGUUUAUUACAGUUUCAAAAAGCAGUUCAAUCACCUCGUAAUAGUUAUGGUGUAGUAAGAUUUGGGUUAAAUAUCGGUUUGAUACACGUUGAAUUUUGAGUUAGUUUCCAAAUAGAAGUUGUAGUGUACUUCUUAAGCUUUCUAGAGAGUAUUUAUUUGUGUAUUUUUACUGGGCAGUUUGAGAGCAGCGACCACCUCAAGCUUGCUGUCCAAAAAUUAGUAUCUCUAUUCGGACAUGAUACUACAAAAGAAACAAUGCAUUGAUACUUUCCAAGUUCCUUGUAUGUUUGCUUGCUAUUUACAUAUUUAACCUUCCAAAAUAGGGCCACCAGUCAUGUCAGGAAUGCCAUUGUAUUAUUACCAUACUUGAACUGCUGGCCGACGAUGGUAAUUCAGACAGCUGUAUUAUUUGCAUUGCUAAACUAUCCUGGUAUAUAUUUAGGAUCCUACGCUACUUAUUUAGAUUACAAAUAAAUUUUUCAUGUUAAUCUUUAUGUCAGUAUAUGUGCCAGCUUACACCCAGAUUUCUUUUGCCUUAUGCAGAAACUAUUGGAUACUUUACAUCAAGCUUGACCAAGUAUGUCCCUUGUUGCUGUUGUUAUACCUGGCGAUAGAGCUCCAUUGGUUUCUUCAAAGGUGGCAUGCCCUAAUUGAUUUAUUACUCUGUAGAGUGUGUAAAGGUUUUUCUAUUUAUGACUAUUUGGUGCUUUUAUCCAGCAAGGCAGUAAGUUCUUUUGCAGGGACAAAUGGCAGAAAAUAGCAAGUCCACAAGUUGAUCUAAGAUGCUCCGUGAUCGCUUUUGUUGAUAACAUGGUUGACACCUUUUGUUCAUACAAAAGUUCAUGUUGGCUUGGUGAUCGAAGAAUUGGUCUCUGCCAUCAAAUUUGUAGUAGUCAGUGAUCGAACAAUUGUCUCUUAGGAUCUUAGCCAUCAAAUUUUGCAACAACUUGUCUUGUAUGUCAAACUGAUGUAUUUCCUUGAUGGUUGUAGCUAUCUUGAGUGAAGAAAACAAAUGAAUCUUUAUAUAUGUUGAAUGAAUGUAUGGAUGAAUGGCAGUUUGUGAUGAAUAGAAGAGUGCAAUUGUGUA
Long non-coding RNA from Triticum dicoccoides, 3185 nucleotides. RefSeq lists it as uncharacterized. The record is from RefSeq and is a predicted model, not a curated record. The transcript has 2 exons. Lineage: Eukaryota; Viridiplantae; Streptophyta; Magnoliopsida; Poales; Poaceae.